GCCUGGGUGGCUCAGUCAGCUGAGCACCUGACUUCAGCUCAGGUCAUGAUCUCACAGUUCGUGAGUUCAAGCCCCACAUCGGGCU
Molecule: transfer RNA, 85 nt
Filed under: Felis catus (domestic cat)
Lineage: Eukaryota; Metazoa; Chordata; Mammalia; Carnivora; Felidae
Also listed under: 2 other names
Rfam family: tRNA
About the family: Transfer RNA (tRNA) molecules are approximately 80 nucleotides in length. Their secondary structure includes four short double-helical elements and three loops (D, anti-codon, and T loops).
Source: Rfam by way of RNAcentral